UACGGAGGGUGCAAGCGUUAUCCGGAUUUACUGGGUUUAAAGGGUGUGUAGGCGGGUUUAUAAGUCAGGGGUGAAAUCUCCGGGCUCAACCCGGAAACUGCCAUUGAUACUAUAGGUCUUGAAUAUUGUGGAGGUGGGCGGAAUGUGUCAUGUAGCGGUGAAAUGCUUAGAGAUGACACAGAACACCGAUUGCGAAGGCAGCCCACUACGCAACUAUUGACGCUGAGGCACGAAAGCGUGGGGAGCAAACAGG
RNAcentral lists this ribosomal RNA (253 nucleotides) under uncultured bacterium. Its description in RNAcentral is "partial 16S ribosomal RNA". It matches the Rfam family "Bacterial small subunit ribosomal RNA", at positions 524 to 776 of the family's 1533-position model. The record is from RNAcentral.